CCUACGGGUGGCAGCAGUGAGGAAUAUUGGUCAAUGGCCGGGAGGCUGAACCAGCCAAGUCGCGUGAGGGAAGACGGCCCUACGGGUUGUAAACCUCUUUUGUCAGGGAGCAAGGUGCAGGUCGGGACCUGCUGUGAGAGUACCUGAAGAAAAAGCAUCGGCUAACUCCGUGCCAGCAGCCGCGGUAAUACGGAGGAUGCGAGCGUUAUCCGGAUUUAUUGGGUUUAAAGGGUGCGCAGGCGGAGGCACAAGUCAGCGGUAAAAUCGCGGGGCUCAACCUCGGCGCUACCGCCAAAACUAUUAGACUAGAGUGCAGGAGGGGUAAGUGGAAUUCCUAGGGUAGCGGUGGAAGGCGUAGAUAUUAGGAGGAACAUCAGGGGCGAAGGCGACUUACUGGACUGUAACUGACACUGAGGCACGAAAGCGUGGGGAGCAAACAGGAUUAGAUACCCUGGUAGUC
This 460-nucleotide ribosomal RNA is filed under the name uncultured bacterium. RNAcentral's name for it is "partial 16S ribosomal RNA". It matches the Rfam family "Bacterial small subunit ribosomal RNA", at positions 338 to 795 of the family's 1533-position model. The record is from RNAcentral.